UACGUAGGGCGCAAGCGUUGUCCGGAAUUAUUGGGCGUAAAGAGCGUGUAGGCGGCUAGGUAGGUCCGUUGUGAAAACUCGAGGCUCAACCUCGAGACGCCGGUGGAAACCAUCUAGCUAGAGUCCGGAAGAGGAGAGUGGAAUUCCUGGUGUAGCGGUGAAAUGCGCAGAUAUCAGGAAGAACACCCGUGGCGAAGGCGGCUCUCUGGGACGUGACUGACGCUGAGACGCGAAAGCGUGGGGAGCGAACAGG
This 253-nucleotide ribosomal RNA is filed under the name uncultured bacterium. RNAcentral describes it as "partial 16S ribosomal RNA". It matches the Rfam family "Bacterial small subunit ribosomal RNA", at positions 524 to 776 of the family's 1533-position model. The record is from RNAcentral.